RNAcentral lists this ribosomal RNA (253 nucleotides) under uncultured bacterium. RNAcentral's name for it is "partial 16S ribosomal RNA". It matches the Rfam family "Bacterial small subunit ribosomal RNA", at positions 524 to 776 of the family's 1533-position model. The record is from RNAcentral.
GACAGAGGGGGCAAGCGUUGCUCGGAAUUACUGGGCGUAAAGGGCGCGUAGGCGGGAUGGCAAGUCGGUCGUGAAAUCCCUCGGCUCAACUGAGGAUCGUCGAUCGAUACUGCCGUUCUUGAGGAUUGCAGAGGAGACUGGAGUUCCCGGUGUAGCGGUGAAAUGUGUAGAGAUCGGGAGGAACACCGGUGGCGAAGGCGGGUCUCUGGGCCAUUACUGACGCUGAGGAGCGAAAGCGUGGGGAGCGAACAGG